This 1808-nucleotide ribosomal RNA is filed under the name human gut metagenome. RNAcentral describes it as "bacterial LSU rRNA". It matches the Rfam family "Bacterial large subunit ribosomal RNA", at positions 1099 to 2925 of the family's 2925-position model. The record is from RNAcentral.
GGUUGGCUCAGAAGCAGCCAUCCUUUAAAGAGUGCGUAACAGCUCACUAGUCGAGUGACCCUGCGCCGAAAAUGUACCGGGGCUAAGCCUGAUACCGAAACUGCGGAUUGUAGGAAACUAUAGUGGUAGGGGAGCGUUGUAUACGAGCAGAAGCCGUACCGUGAGGAGCGGUGGAUUGUAUAGAAGUGAGAAUGCCGGUGUGAGUAGCGAGAUGUAGGUGAGAAUCCUACACACCGAAAGCCCAAGGAUUCCAGGGGAAGGUUCGUCCGCCCUGGGUAAGUCGGGACCUAACGCGAGGCCGAAAGGCGUAGUGGAUGGAAAGCAGGCGAAAGAUUCCUGCACCCGUAUAUGGAGCGAAGGAGUGACGGAGACGGAUAGUGUGACCCUCUUAAUGGAUUGAGGGCGAAGCGAAGCGGCUGGUUACCAGGCAAAUCCGGUAACCAAAAGGCUAGAGCGUGACAGGUAAGCGAAAUCUUCGGAAAGUAGCGAAGCACAUGAUGACGGCUUCCAGGAAAAGCUUCUGGCAAUGCAUAUGCGGCCCGUACCAAAACCGACACAGGUGGGCAGGGAGAGAAUCCCGAGGUGAGCGAGAGAACUGUUGCCAAGGAACUCGGCAAAAUGACUCCGUAAGUUAGCGAGAAGGAGUGCUUAAGCAAUUAAGCCGCAGUGAAGAGGCCCAAGCGACUGUUUAACUAAAACACAGCUCUCUGCGAAGUCGCAAGACGAAGUAUAGGGGGUGACACCUGCCCGGUGCUGGAAGGUUAAGAGGAUCUGUUAAGAGCGAUCUGAAGCAGUGAUCCGAAGCCCCAGUGAACGGCGGCCGUAACUAUAACGGUCCUAAGGUAGCGAAAUUCCUUGUCAGGUAAGUUCUGACCCGCACGAAAGGUGUAACGAUUUGGGCGCUGUCUCGGCAGCAGACUCGGUGAAAUCUUAGUACCUGUGAAAAUGCAGGUUACCCGCAACUAGACGGAAAGACCCCAUGGAGCUUUACUGCAGCCUGAUAUUGAAUUCUGGUCAUACAUGUACAGGAUAGGUGGGAGACAAAGAGACGUGCACGCCAGUGUACGAGGAGUCGACGUUGGGAUACCACUCUUGUGUGACCGGGGUUCUAACCUGGUAUCGAGAACAGGUACGGGGAGAGUGUCAGGUGGGCAGUUUGACUGGGGCGGUCGCCUCCCAAAGAGUAACGGAGGCGCCCAAAGGUACGCUCAGAUUGGAUGGAAACCAAUCGUCGAGUGCAAUUGCAGAAGCGUGCUUGACUGUGAGACAGACAAGUCGAACAGGGACGAAAGUCGGGAAUAGUGAUCCGGCGGUGCCGAAUGGAAGGGCCGUCGCUCAACGGAUAAAAGCUACCCUGGGGAUAACAGGCUGAUCUCGCCCAAGAGUUCACAUCGACGGCGAGGUUUGGCACCUCGAUGUCGGCUCAUCGCAUCCUGGAGCUGGAUUCGGUUCCAAGGGUUGGGCUGUUCGCCCAUUAAAGCGGUACGCGAGCUGGGUUCAGAACGUCGUGAGACAGUUCGGUCCCUAUCUGUUGUGGGCGAAGGAGAUCUGCGGAGAGCUGUCCUCAGUACGAGAGGACCGGGAUGGACCUACCGCUGGUGCACCGGUUGUUCCGCCAGGGGCAUAGCCGGGUAGCUAAGUAGGGAAAGGAUAAGCGCUGAAAGCAUCUAAGCACGAAGCCUACUCCAAGAUGAGAUCUCCCAUUCGCAAGAAGUAAGACCCCUUAAAGACGAUAAGGUAGAUAGGCCAGGGAUGGAAGUGCAGUGAUGUACGGAGUUGACUGGUACUAAUCGGUCGAGGACUUAAUC